Long non-coding RNA from Euleptes europaea (tarantolino), 222 nucleotides. RefSeq lists it as uncharacterized. The transcript is spliced from 2 exons. NCBI's taxonomy places the organism in Eukaryota, Metazoa, Chordata, Lepidosauria, Squamata, Sphaerodactylidae. The record is from RefSeq and is a predicted model, not a curated record.
CGCCCCUGAUGGGUCGUCUGCAUGCUCUUUGUACUGUACCUGAUCACAUAACUUGUUCAUUUAUAAAAAAGUUUCUCUUGUUCAUUUAAAUAUGUUAAGAUUAUUUAUAUGUAUAUAAUUUCAAAAGUAUAUUAUUAUACAAAAUAUUUUGUUCUACCUCUGUAAAAAUUCUCACGUGUGAAUAAAGUAUGCUGUCUGUGGCAUUUAGUGAACACUGCAAAA